This 1758-nucleotide long non-coding RNA is filed under the name Gossypium barbadense (sea-island cotton). RNAcentral's name for it is "long non-coding RNA (GBAR_LNC005524)". The record is from RNAcentral. Lineage: Eukaryota; Viridiplantae; Streptophyta; Magnoliopsida; Malvales; Malvaceae.
AAAAUUAGACAAAAAAAAAAUAUUCUUGAUAACCCUUCUUCUCUUUCAUUAAACUCCAAAACUCCUCUGUAUUAGCUACUCACCAGGACCGAAUCUCUUCCAGAAUCAAAACUACUGAAGUCUUCUUUACGGUCUGAAACACGAGUUCAUCAGACAAAUCAGCCAUCUCAGCGUCCGGACUCUUCCUCUCCAUCUAACCUUCUUCACUGUUACCUCUCCUUUCUUUAUUCACCAAUCCUUCUACCUCGUGCGGGACCUUCUCUAUCCAGUAUAAGGGGUUUUCAUACCGAAGACCUUCCAUCGCCAUCCCAUGAGCCGCCUUAUUUGCUUCCCUUGGUAUGUGGUUAAAAAUCGGUCUUCAUAAAAUGGGGACUCUUCCCUUAAUUUCUCUAAUCAGGCUGUUGAUUUCAGAUCUAUCUUCUCCUGUAGAAUUUAUCUUGCGAAUUAUUGUGAGCACAUCUCUUUCAAUACAAAUAUCAUCAAAACCCAUUUCCUCAGCCAUAGUAAUGGCUUGCAAACAAGCCCUAGCCUCGGCCAUGGCCGAAUCUGCGAUAUUCUCCCAAGGAAAGGUACAUGCUGCCAUCACCAAUCCUGAACAAGAUCUUUUUGUAUGAUAGUUGAACGAAGCGUCGAAAUUAAUUUUUAUAAUAUCAUUCUCCGGUGGUUUCCAUUCUGAACUGUCUGCUACUUGUAUUUGCCUCAAUAUAAACCCCAGAGUGGCUAUCUCUACGCAGUAAGCUUUAACAAAUCUGACAAUUUCAUUCACUUGUUCACAAACUCCUUCAUGGUAAAUUUUGUUACGGUUGUACCAAAUAACCCAAUAGACAAUAGCUCUAAUUUUGCAUUCUUCAAUACUCAGAUUAUCGAUCUCUAUUGCUAACCAUUUUUUCCAAUUGGAUUCUGCAUUCUAUGAUAAAAUUUUCGCCCCCAACCCCCUCAAAACCUGCUGCGUGAAGGAGCAGCCUCUGAACAAGUGGCUAACGGUUUCCUCCUCUGCUUGACAAACCGGACAGAGUGUGUUGGUUAUCAAUUUUCGUAUCCGUAGAUUGUACAAAGUAGGAAUGUAAUUAUUAGAUAUUCUCCACAAGUGUAUUCUUAUUUUACUUGGUAACCAUAGUCCCCAAAGUUUUGUAAAGAAAGUAGUUGUAUAAUUAGUCUGAGAACUAAACCCCUCUGCUGUAAUUUGCCAUUUGUAUCCACUCUUCACUGUAUACACCCCUGUAUUGUCCCCUCUCCAAAUCAAGAGAUCCUGUGGUUCACUCCUCACCAAUGGGAUCAACAUAAUGUUUGCAAGAUACUCUUCUCCGAAUAAUUCAUGAAUUGUGUCUUACUUCCAGGUAGUAGUUUCUUUAUCGAUUAAAUCUGCUACUUUAGUGUAUCUAAUAUCAAUAUUCAGACCAUGUACUCUCCCAUCUCUAGGCCCCGGUAGCCAUGCAUUGUUCCAUAUGUUAACUGUUUCCCCAUUUUCGAUUCGUCAGCUGAGCCUCUCCUUCAGUAUUUGACGAGCUCCCCAAAUACUUCACCAUGUAUAUGAAGGGUAAGAGCCUAACCCUGCACUCAUAAAAUCCCCUUUUGGAAUGUAUUUCGGUUUCAUAACUCGGGCAAACAAACAAUUCCACUGCGUAAUAAUUUUCCACCCCUGUUUCGCUAAUAAUGCCAAAUUGAAUUUUGAUAAAUCUUUAAAAUCCAUGCCCCCCUUCGCUUUAGUGAUACACAUAUCUUGCCACUUACACCAAUGUAUACCUUUGUUUGUCUUAG